Molecule: transfer RNA, 73 nt
Filed under: Bacillus amyloliquefaciens
Lineage: Bacteria; Bacillati; Bacillota; Bacilli; Caryophanales; Bacillaceae
Description: tRNA-Gly
Rfam family: tRNA
About the family: Transfer RNA (tRNA) molecules are approximately 80 nucleotides in length. Their secondary structure includes four short double-helical elements and three loops (D, anti-codon, and T loops).
Source: RNAcentral
GCGGGUGUAGUUUAGUGGUAAAACCUCAGCCUUCCAAGCUGAUGUCGUGAGUUCCCUAACCUUUUGAUCCGUA